UUGAGCAUACCUUCACGGAUGAAUAGAUCUCGGAAAAGUCUCUUCAAAUAGCUGUAGUCUGGUUUAUCUUCAAAUCGCAAAGAUCGACAGUAAUGGAAGUAUGAAAUGAACUCUGUGGGAUAAGAUUUACAGAGAACCUAUACAAAAUUUAAGCAUUUUCUUUUCACUAAUUUUGUCAUAUUUCUGUUUUUUUGUGCCAGCUUUUAGACCUUGCCAAGGAAGGCUGAGAUGGACAAAAAUACAUAAGCACAUAGCCCAGAGACUCUAAAUCAUCUCUCCUGCUUUGUUCUGUAAUGGGUGUUUACACUAGCAUAGCGUGCUGUUCCUGUGAGAUUUUUGUUCUCCCUAUGGUAUAUGCUUAUGAGUUUGGAGGUCCCGGUAUUUCUUUGCAAGACCAUAGUCGAUGACAUAAACCUGUUACAGAAUUCAGCAGUACUAGAAAGGCAGUUGAUAUGCAUAUGCUGAGUAACAGUAUGCACAAAUAAGAGAAAACAGAAAUAUUAUCCUUGUAUUCUUCAAGUUCUUACGAAAUAAUAAAACGUAUGGUAAAUCGAUGAUCACAGUCAGCAGUUUAAAUUCUCCAAAGUCUUUCUACAUUCAUAAAAAAGAUGUUUCUAAAAAAUACUAAAAUUUAUUAUACAAGAUAAUUUCUCCAUAAAGAAACUAGUAUAAUCAUCAAGCACACAGAGCACAGCUGACAGCUGUUGUUGGUAAUAUCAUAGCCUCUCUUAGAAAGUAUAAUUGAAGAUACUACUGCCAAUUGACAAAACUUCAUAGCACCAAAAAAGAUGAUACUUAGAAACCAGGCCAAAUACUCGAAUCAAGAUGUUAUCAAUACAAAAUUAUACAGACCAGGCAACCAACAACAUCCAAAGCGCAGAAAAAUAAUGAAUUAUAUCUACCAGCAACUGCAGAUGAAUGGGACAAACCUGGCUUGCUUUGCGGCCUAAACCCAUAAGGAAGUUGUCUGGCUUGAUAUCACGAUGUAGAAACCCCCUAGUGUGCAUGUACUCUACCCUGUUGAUCUGUAUAGAACAGGAACAUAAGUACUGUUUUAAGAGAAAACUUUCUGUUGCAGUAGUUGAAUAAGUCCUCUAAACUUGGACCAAGAAGAUCGAUAACCAUGACAUUGUACUCCCCCUCCACUCCAAACCACUUCAGAUGAGGAAUUCCAG
RNAcentral lists this small RNA (1175 nucleotides) under Oryza sativa Japonica Group (Japanese rice). Its description in RNAcentral is "sRNA Os02g0622150". Lineage: Eukaryota; Viridiplantae; Streptophyta; Magnoliopsida; Poales; Poaceae. The record is from RNAcentral.